Macrobrachium nipponense is the source of this 1007-nucleotide long non-coding RNA. RefSeq lists it as uncharacterized. The transcript has 2 exons. NCBI's taxonomy places the organism in Eukaryota, Metazoa, Arthropoda, Malacostraca, Decapoda, Palaemonidae. The record is from RefSeq and is a predicted model, not a curated record.
GAUGAAAUGUCCAAACAGCAAAAUUUAAUUUUGAAAGUUUCAUUGAAAAUGACCAAGUCGUGAGGUAUGGUUGUCCACAUGUAUAAAUCAAGAGUACAAUAUCUAUUUAAUGACUUUUCUGAUCCCUUUGAGUGUCAUGCUGAAAACAACUUUAAUCUUUUCUUUUAGGUGGAGAAAACUGUAUGAAGCACUAAGAAUCUUAAGGUGCUAGCUUUAAAAGCACUAGCAAGUCACUUUGGAGGGUAUUUCAACUACAAUAAUAAUGAGUUUUUGGAUAUAACCAAAUUAGAUCUUAAAAAGCUUGCCAAAUGUUUCGGAUUUGAAACACUCCCACGUCUGCCGAAUGUUGUACAGAGGCAGUUAGAUGAAGCCCUUGGUCCACAAAAAGACCAAAACGUCAGAGCGUACAAUGCCCCAAGUAAAUUGCAGCACCGUAAGGGAAAAUUAUACAACACUAAUACUAAACCACAAUACCAAAAAGGAAAAUCAUACAGUGGCAUGACUAAGCCACCGCAAAAAAUGGAGAAAUCUUACUAAGGUGUAAGCAAGGUAAAACACCAAAAGGGAAAAUUCCCAAAGGGUAAGAAAGCUGUAAAACCAAAAGAAGCCACUUAAAGAGAAUGACGAAGAUACACAGUUUUCUAUUUACAUCCUUAUAGAAGUUAAAGAUGGACCUGGGGAGAAGUGUACCGAGAUGGUGAAUUUAUGCAUAAACAAUGGGUAAGUCAGGAAUGCACUGAUAGCAAUUUGAUUAAUAAGGUACAGGGAUCGAGCAAAGACACGAAAGGGAGUAUUGCAGUUAGUAGGAAAUACUUAUAUGAUGUAUAUGUUUGAGGAAGUUUUGAUGAUAACUAUUGAGAUUCUAGCACUGCUGUAUUUGUAAUUAUUUGAUAUUUUGUAAAAUACUUUACACAUGCAUAUAUGUACAUUGAUUUUUUAUUUGCAAAGGUUGUACUUUGCAAGAAUGUUGUUGAAUAUUAUAAAUAAAUACAGAGCAGUAAUUCAUA